GUUGCGCGGAGGCUGGAUGACUCACCCGAGAUAUCAGAUGCAUUCCACCAGCCCCCACAAACCAGCGACAGUCAAGCUGGACAAGUGUCACCUGCCUCGUCAGUGAGCUGUCGACGGGUGUCACCUGCCUCGUCAGUGAGCUGUGUUGGGUUGUCUAGUUCCUAAGACUUCUAGACCAGACCUGCUCGACAGGCGUUCUCCUGACACCCUUCCGCACUUGCACCUGGCCUCUUACAUCACAGAGCACCCUUUCCUGAGGCCUUCCUCUGAAUCAAAGAAGCAAGAUGACAAAAGGAACAUCAUCCUUUGGAAAUCGUCGCAAUAAGACGCACAUUCUGUGCCUCCGCUGCUGUGGCUCUAAGGCCUACCACCUUCAGAAGUUGACUUGUGGCAACCGUGGUUGCCCUGCCAAGUGCAACAGACAGGAUAACUGGAGCGCCAAGCUAAGAGAGGAAACGCUACCGGGCUGGGCUGGUGAGGUAUCCAAAGAUUGUCUACCACAGAUUCAGACACGGGUUCCGUGAAGGAACAACACCUAAACCUAAGAGGGCAGCUGUUGCAGCAACCAGUUCUUCUUGAGGAUUCGAUCAGUCAUAAAAUAAAUGUUCUGGUUU
This 614-nucleotide long non-coding RNA is filed under the name Rattus norvegicus (Norway rat). Its description in RNAcentral is "long non-coding RNA NONRATT001444". Lineage: Eukaryota; Metazoa; Chordata; Mammalia; Rodentia; Muridae. The record is from RNAcentral.